CCUACGGGAGGCAGCAGUGAGGAAUAUUGGUCAAUGGGCGUAAGCCUGAACCAGCCAAGUCGCGUGAGGGAUGAAGGUUCUAUGGAUCGUAAACCUCUUUUAUAGGGGAAUAAAGUGUGUGACGUGUCCUAUUUUGUAUGUACCUUAUGAAUAAGGAUCGGCUAACUCCGGUCCAGCAGCCGCGGUAAUACGGAGGAUCCGAGCGUUAUCCGGAUUUAUUGGGUUUAAAGGGUGCGUAGGCGGCCUUUUAAGUCAGCGGUGAAAGUCUGUGGCUCAACCGUAGAAUUGCCGUUGAAACUGGGGGGCUGGAGUAUGUGUGAGGCAGGCGGAAUGCGUGGUGUAGCGGUGAAAUGCUUAGAUAUAACGCAGAACCCCGAUUGCGAAGGCAGCCUGCCAAGCCAUGACUGACGCUGAUGCACGAAAGCGUGGGGAUCAAACAGGAUUAGAUACCCCGGUAGUC
This 460-nucleotide ribosomal RNA is filed under the name uncultured bacterium. RNAcentral describes it as "partial 16S ribosomal RNA". It matches the Rfam family "Bacterial small subunit ribosomal RNA", at positions 338 to 795 of the family's 1533-position model. The record is from RNAcentral.